This 486-nucleotide ribosomal RNA is filed under the name uncultured bacterium. RNAcentral describes it as "partial 16S ribosomal RNA". It matches the Rfam family "Bacterial small subunit ribosomal RNA", at positions 30 to 507 of the family's 1533-position model. The record is from RNAcentral.
ACUGCACGCUUUCUUCAUUCCUUACGCAUGCAAGUCGAACGGCAGCACGGGUGCUUGCACCUGGUGGCGAGUGGCGAACGGGUGAGUAAUACAUCGGAACAUGUCCUGUAGUGGGGGAUAGCCCGGCGAAAGCCGGAUUAAUACCGCAUACGAUCUACGGAUGAAAGCGGGGGACCUUCGGGCCUCGCGCUAUAGGGUUGGCCGAUAGCUGAUUAGCUAGUUGGUGGGGUAAAGGCCUACCAAGGCGACGAUCAGUAGCUGGUCUGAGAGGACGACCAGCCACACUGGGACUGAGACACGGCCCAGACUCCUACGGGAGGCAGCAGUGGGGAAUUUUGGACAAUGGGCGAAAGCCUGAUCCAGCAAUGCCGCGUGUGUGAAGAAGGCCUUCGGGUUGUAAAGCACUUUUGUCCGGAAAGAAAUCCUUGGCUCUAAUACAGUCGGGGGAUGACGGUACCGGAAGAAUAAGCACCGGCUAACUACGUG